Molecule: small nuclear RNA, 108 nt
Organism: Suncus etruscus (white-toothed pygmy shrew)
Lineage: Eukaryota; Metazoa; Chordata; Mammalia; Eulipotyphla; Soricidae
Source: RefSeq, a predicted model, not a curated record
GUGCUCACUUCUGCAGCACAUAUACUAAAACUGGAAUGGUACAAAGAAAAUUAGCAUGGCCCCUGAGCAAGGAUGACACGCCAAAUUCAUGAAGCAUUCCAUAUUUAA